CGGUGUUCAACUGGCGUGCCCGCGGGACGUCCUGCCGGUGAGCUCAGCCCGCGAGGGCGGCUCAACUUGAAAUCCCAUCGCGGUGCUCUUCAUUGAGUGUCGAGGUGGGCCGACACGAUUACUUUUGAACAAAUUAGAGUGCUUAAAGCAGGCUAAAAUUUUGCCUGAAUACUGUGUAUAUGGAAUAAUGGAAUAGGACCUCGGUUCUAUUUUGUUGGUUUUCGGAACCCCGAGGUAAUGAUUAAUAGGAACGGAUGGGGGCAUUCGUAUUGCGACGUUAGAGGUGAAAUUCUUGGAUCGUCGCAAGAUGGACUAAAGCGAAAGCAUUUGCCAAAAACGCUUUCAUUGAUCAAGAACGAAAGUUAGAGGUUCGAAGGCGAUCAGAUACCGCCCUAGUUCUAACCAUAAACUAUGCCAGCUAGCGAUCCGCCGACGUCCCUCUGAUGACUCGGCGGGGCAGCUUCCGGGAAACCAAGGCUUUUGGGUUCCGGGGGAAGUAUGGUUGCAAAGCUGAAACUUAAAGGAAUUGACGGAAGGGCACCACCAGGAGUGGAGCCUGCGGCUUAAUUUGACUCAACACGGGAAACCUCACCAGGCCCAGACACUGGAAGGAUUGACAGAUUGAGAGCUCUUUCUUGAUUCAGUGGGUGGUGGUGCAUGGCCGUUCUUAGUCGGUGGAGCGAUUUGUCAGGUUAAUUCCGAUAACGGACGAGACUCUGACCUGAUAACUAGACGCACUUGCGGCAUCUCAAAGGUCCGCCGGCGGCUGGCUUUGCGCCCGUCGUCGCGCGCGAUUUUUACUGCCGGCGUACAAUAAAUUCUUCUUAGAGGGACAAGUGG
Molecule: ribosomal RNA, 840 nt
Filed under: uncultured eukaryote
Lineage: Eukaryota
Description: SSU rRNA
Rfam family: Eukaryotic small subunit ribosomal RNA
Source: RNAcentral